ACGUACGUUUGAUCCUGGCUACGAGGACACGCUGGCGGCGUGCCUAACACAUGCAAGUCGAGCGAAGUGCUUUGAGUGGAACCCUUCGGGGUGAAACUUAAAGCACGUUAGCGGCGACGGGUGAGUAACGCGUGAGGAACCUACUACCCACAAGGGGAUAGACCUCGGGAAACCGGGAGUUAAUACCCUAUGACACUUAGGUGUCGCAUGACGCCUAGGUUAAAGCGCUUUAGCGGUGGAGAUGGCCUCACGUCCCAUUAGCUAGUUGGUGAGGUAACGGCUCACCAAGGCGACGAUGGGUAGCCGGCCUGAGAGGGUGACCGGCCACACUGGGACUGAGACACGGCCCAGACUCCUACGGGAGGCAGCAGUGGGGAAUAUUGCACAAUGGGCGAAAGCCUGAUGCAGCGACGCCGCGUGAGCGAAGAAGGCCUUCGGGUCGUAAAGCUCUGUACCUAUGGGAAGAUAAUGACGGUACCAUAGGAGGAAGCCCCGGCUAACUACGUG
RNAcentral lists this ribosomal RNA (507 nucleotides) under uncultured Tepidimicrobium sp. Its description in RNAcentral is "bacterial SSU rRNA". It matches the Rfam family "Bacterial small subunit ribosomal RNA", at positions 1 to 507 of the family's 1533-position model. The record is from RNAcentral. Lineage: Bacteria; Bacillati; Bacillota; Tissierellia; Tissierellales; Tepidimicrobiaceae.